GGGUGCCCUUCCCCGGUGCCGCGCCCCGCGGUGCCGGUGAAAAUGGCAGGUCGUCGCGCUGGUCGGGCCGCCGCG
This 75-nucleotide non-coding RNA is filed under the name Oryza sativa (Asian cultivated rice). RNAcentral describes it as "Li+-I sequence". It matches the Rfam family "nhaA-I RNA". From Rfam's summary of the family: Acidobacteria, Alphaproteobacteria, Betaproteobacteria and Gammaproteobacteria, Verrucomicrobia, cand. division NC10. Downstream gene Lineage: Eukaryota; Viridiplantae; Streptophyta; Magnoliopsida; Poales; Poaceae. The record is from RNAcentral.